Molecule: ribosomal RNA, 1454 nt
Filed under: Staphylococcus haemolyticus
Lineage: Bacteria; Bacillati; Bacillota; Bacilli; Caryophanales; Staphylococcaceae
Description: bacterial SSU rRNA
Rfam family: Bacterial small subunit ribosomal RNA
Source: RNAcentral
ACUGGCGGCGUGCCUAUACAUGCAAGUCGAGCGAACAGACAAGGAGCUUGCUCCUUUGACGUUAGCGGCGGACGGGUGAGUAACACGUGGGUAACCUACCUAUAAGACUGGGAUAACUUCGGGAAACCGGAGCUAAUACCGGAUAAUAUUUCGAACCGCAUGGUUCGAUAGUGAAAGAUGGUUUUGCUAUCACUUAUAGAUGGACCCGCGCCGUAUUAGCUAGUUGGUAAGGUAACGGCUUACCAAGGCGACGAUACGUAGCCGACCUGAGAGGGUGAUCGGCCACACUGGAACUGAGACACGGUCCAGACUCCUACGGGAGGCAGCAGUAGGGAAUCUUCCGCAAUGGGCGAAAGCCUGACGGAGCAACGCCGCGUGAGUGAUGAAGGUCUUCGGAUCGUAAAACUCUGUUAUUAGGGAAGAACAUACGUGUAAGUAACUAUGCACGUCUUGACGGUACCUAAUCAGAAAGCCACGGCUAACUACGUGCCAGCAGCCGCGGUAAUACGUAGGUGGCAAGCGUUAUCCGGAAUUAUUGGGCGUAAAGCGCGCGUAGGCGGUUUUUUAAGUCUGAUGUGAAAGCCCACGGCUCAACCGUGGAGGGUCAUUGGAAACUGGAAAACUUGAGUGCAGAAGAGGAAAGUGGAAUUCCAUGUGUAGCGGUGAAAUGCGCAGAGAUAUGGAGGAACACCAGUGGCGAAGGCGACUUUCUGGUCUGUAACUGACGCUGAUGUGCGAAAGCGUGGGGAUCAAACAGGAUUAGAUACCCUGGUAGUCCACGCCGUAAACGAUGAGUGCUAAGUGUUAGGGGGUUUCCGCCCCUUAGUGCUGCAGCUAACGCAUUAAGCACUCCGCCUGGGGAGUACGACCGCAAGGUUGAAACUCAAAGGAAUUGACGGGGACCCGCACAAGCGGUGGAGCAUGUGGUUUAAUUCGAAGCAACGCGAAGAACCUUACCAAAUCUUGACAUCCUUUGACAACUCUAGAGAUAGAGCCUUCCCCUUCGGGGGACAAAGUGACAGGUGGUGCAUGGUUGUCGUCAGCUCGUGUCGUGAGAUGUUGGGUUAAGUCCCGCAACGAGCGCAACCCUUAAGCUUAGUUGCCAUCAUUAAGUUGGGCACUCUAAGUUGACUGCCGGUGACAAACCGGAGGAAGGUGGGGAUGACGUCAAAUCAUCAUGCCCCUUAUGAUUUGGGCUACACACGUGCUACAAUGGACAAUACAAAGGGCAGCGAAACCGCGAGGUCAAGCAAAUCCCAUAAAGUUGUUCUCAGUUCGGAUUGUAGUCUGCAACUCGACUACAUGAAGCUGGAAUCGCUAGUAAUCGUAGAUCAGCAUGCUACGGUGAAUACGUUCCCGGGUCUUGUACACACCGCCCGUCACACCACGAGAGUUUGUAACACCCGAAGCCGGUGGAGUAACCAUUUGGAGCUAGCCGUCGAAGGUGGGACAAA